GCCGGCUUAGCGCAAUUGGUAGAGCAACUGACUUGUAAUCAGUAGGUUGAGGGUUCAAGUCCUUUAGCCGGCACCA
RNAcentral lists this transfer RNA (76 nucleotides) under Erysipelotrichaceae bacterium. Its description in RNAcentral is "tRNA-Thr". It matches the Rfam family "tRNA". From Rfam's summary of the family: Transfer RNA (tRNA) molecules are approximately 80 nucleotides in length. Their secondary structure includes four short double-helical elements and three loops (D, anti-codon, and T loops). Further hydrogen bonds mediate the characteristic L-shaped molecular structure. tRNAs have two regions of fundamental functional importance: the anti-codon, which is responsible for specific mRNA codon recognition, and the 3' end, to which the tRNAs corresponding amino acid is attached (by aminoacyl-tRNA synthetases). tRNAs cope with the degeneracy of the genetic code in two manners: having more than one tRNA (with a specific anti-codon) for a particular amino acid; and 'wobble' base-pairing, i.e. permitting non-standard base-pairing at the 3rd anti-codon position. The record is from RNAcentral. Lineage: Bacteria; Bacillati; Bacillota; Erysipelotrichia; Erysipelotrichales; Erysipelotrichaceae.